AACGGAACUAUUUUGGAAACUCCUUCGGGAGCGGAAUCUUUAGUUUAGUGGCGGACGGGUGAGUAACGCGUGAGCAAUCUGCCUUUAAGAGGGGGAUAACAGUCGGAAACGGCUGCUAAUACCGCAUAAAGCAUUGAAACCGCAUGAUUUUGAUGCCAAAGGAGCAAUCCGCUUUUAGAUGAGCUCGCGUCUGAUUAGCUGGUUGGCGGGGUAACGGCCCACCAAGGCGACGAUCAGUAGCCGGACUGAGAGGUUGAACGGCCACAUUGGGACUGAGACACGGCCCAGACUCCUACGGGAGGCAGCAGUGGGGAAUAUUGCGCAAUGGGGGAAACCCUGACGCAGCAACGCCGCGUGAUUGAAGAAGGCCUUCGGGUUGUAAAGAUCUUUAAUCAGGGACGAAACAAAUGACGGUACCUGAAGAAUAAGCUCCGGCUAACUACGUGCCAGCAGCCGCGGUAAUACGUAGGGAGCAAGCGUUAUCCGGAUUUACUGGGUGUAAAGGGCGCGCAGGCGGGCCGGCAAGUUGGAAGUGAAAUCUAUGGGCUUAACCCAUAAACUGCUUUANAAACUGCUGGUCUUGAGUGAUGGAGAGGCAGGCGGAAUUCCGUGUGUAGCGG
This 620-nucleotide ribosomal RNA is filed under the name uncultured bacterium. Its description in RNAcentral is "bacterial SSU rRNA". It matches the Rfam family "Bacterial small subunit ribosomal RNA", at positions 65 to 681 of the family's 1533-position model. The record is from RNAcentral.